GUUUAUGUAGCUUAAAUUUAGAGCAUGGCAUUGAAGAUGCUAGGGUAAUCAUUGAUUUUUAAACA
Molecule: transfer RNA, 65 nt
Filed under: Gibbium aequinoctiale
Lineage: Eukaryota; Metazoa; Arthropoda; Insecta; Coleoptera; Ptinidae
Description: tRNA-Phe
Rfam family: tRNA
About the family: Transfer RNA (tRNA) molecules are approximately 80 nucleotides in length. Their secondary structure includes four short double-helical elements and three loops (D, anti-codon, and T loops). Further hydrogen bonds mediate the characteristic L-shaped molecular structure. tRNAs have two regions of fundamental functional importance: the anti-codon, which is responsible for specific mRNA codon recognition, and the 3' end, to which the tRNAs corresponding amino acid is attached (by aminoacyl-tRNA synthetases). tRNAs cope with the degeneracy of the genetic code in two manners: having more than one tRNA (with a specific anti-codon) for a particular amino acid; and 'wobble' base-pairing, i.e. permitting non-standard base-pairing at the 3rd anti-codon position.
Source: RNAcentral